GGGCCNNCNUAAUGCNUGCAGUCGAGCGAUGAGGUCCUACGGGGCCAUCAGCGGCAGACGGGUGAGUAACGCAUGGGUAACCCACCUUCAAGCCGGGGAUAACGUGUGGAAACGCACGCUAAUACCCGAUGCGUACGCUUAAGAGGAGACUGUGAGCGUAGAAAGUUACGGCGCUUGAAGAGGGGCCUGUGGCCCAUCAGUUAGUUGGUAGGGUAACGGCCUACCAAGGCGAAGACGGGUAGGGGGUGUGAGAGCACGGCCCCCCACAAUGGGACUGAAAGACGGCCCAUACUCCUACGGGAGGCAGCAGCAGGGAAUCUUGCGCAAUGGACGGAAGUCUGACGCAGCGACGCCGCGUGGGUGAAGACGGCCUUCGGGUUGUAAAGCCCUUUUCUGGAGGAAGAGGGAGGACGGUACUCCAGGAAUAAGUGUCGGCUAGCUACGUGCCAGCAGCCGCGGUAAUACGUAGGACACGAGCGUUAUCCGGAUUUACUGGGCGUAAAGCGCCUGUAGGCGGUUCUUCAAGUCGUUUGUGAAAGCCCUGGGCUCAACCUGGGGAGGCCAAGCGAUACUGGAGGACUUGAGGGUGACAGAGGGGAGUGGAAUUUCCGGUGUAGCGGUAAAAUGCGCANA
RNAcentral lists this ribosomal RNA (633 nucleotides) under uncultured bacterium. Its description in RNAcentral is "bacterial SSU rRNA". It matches the Rfam family "Bacterial small subunit ribosomal RNA", at positions 40 to 694 of the family's 1533-position model. The record is from RNAcentral.